Molecule: ribosomal RNA, 87 nt
Filed under: Halarchaeum rubridurum
Lineage: Archaea; Methanobacteriati; Methanobacteriota; Halobacteria; Halobacteriales; Halobacteriaceae
Source: RNAcentral
CAUCCCGAACACGGAAGUUAAGCCCACCUGCGUAUCGGGUAGUACUGGAGUGCGCGAGCCUCUGGGAACACCGAUUCGCCGCCUCGC